UACCCUUGUCUUUUGCGCACUUGUUGUUUCCUGGGCGGGUUCGCUCGCCACCAGGACCACAAUAUAAACCUUUUUUAUGCAGUUGCAAUCAGCGUCAGUAUAACAAAUGUAAAUCAUUUACAACUUUCAACAACGGAUCUCUUGGUUCUGGCAUCGAUGAAGAACGCAGCGAAAUGCGAUACGUAGUGUGAAUUGCAGAAUUCAGUGAAUCAUCGAAUCUUUGAACGCACAUUGCGCCCUUUGGUAUUCCAAAGGGCAUGCCUGUUCGAGCGUCAUUUGUACCCUCAAGCUUUGCUUGGUGUUGGGCGUUUUUUUUGUCUUUGGUUUGCCCAAAGACUCGCCUUAAAAUGAUUGGCAGCCGGCCUCCUGGUUUCGCAGCGCAGCACAUUUUUGCGCUUGCAAUCAGCAAAAGAGGACGGCAAUCCAUCAAGACUCCUUCUCACGUUUGACCUCGGAUCAGGUAGGGAUACCCGCUGAACUUAAGCAUAUCAA
RNAcentral lists this ribosomal RNA (492 nucleotides) under Curvularia sp. MAFF 236750. RNAcentral describes it as "eukaryotic LSU rRNA". The stretch from base 122 to 275 matches the Rfam family "5.8S ribosomal RNA". Lineage: Eukaryota; Fungi; Ascomycota; Dothideomycetes; Pleosporales; Pleosporaceae. The record is from RNAcentral.